RNAcentral lists this ribosomal RNA (288 nucleotides) under Sporothrix sp. SW057. Its description in RNAcentral is "partial large subunit ribosomal RNA". It matches the Rfam family "Eukaryotic large subunit ribosomal RNA", at positions 331 to 670 of the family's 3401-position model. Lineage: Eukaryota; Fungi; Ascomycota; Sordariomycetes; Ophiostomatales; Ophiostomataceae. The record is from RNAcentral.
AGACCGAUAGCGAACAAGUACAGUGAUGGAAAGAUGAAAAGAACUUUGAAAAGAGAGUGAAAAAGUACGUGAAAUUGUUGAAAGGGAAGGGCUUGAGAUCAGACUUGGUUACCUCGGUGACCAGGCCAGCAUCAGGUGGCGGGGUGACAUAACGCGGAAGGAAUGUGGCUUUGCUUCGGUGAAGUGUUAUAGCCUUCUGAAAUAUCACCACCAUCGCCUGAGGACUGCGCUUCGGCAAGGAUGUUGGCAUAAUGAUCUUAAGCCGCCCGUCUUGAAACACGGACCAAG